This 1530-nucleotide ribosomal RNA is filed under the name Rathayibacter sp. VKM Ac-2759. Its description in RNAcentral is "bacterial SSU rRNA". It matches the Rfam family "Bacterial small subunit ribosomal RNA". Lineage: Bacteria; Bacillati; Actinomycetota; Actinomycetes; Micrococcales; Microbacteriaceae. The record is from RNAcentral.
UUUACGGAGAGUUUGAUCCUGGCUCAGGACGAACGCUGGCGGCGUGCUUAACACAUGCAAGUCGAACGAUGAAGCCCAGCUUGCUGGGUGGAUUAGUGGCGAACGGGUGAGUAACACGUGAGUAACCUGCCCUUGACUCUGGGAUAAGCGCUGGAAACGGCGUCUAAUACCGGAUACGACCUGCCCCGGCAUCGGGUGCGGGUGGAAAGUUUUUCGGUCAAGGAUGGACUCGCGGCCUAUCAGCUUGUUGGUGAGGUAAUGGCUCACCAAGGCGACGACGGGUAGCCGGCCUGAGAGGGUGACCGGCCACACUGGGACUGAGACACGGCCCAGACUCCUACGGGAGGCAGCAGUGGGGAAUAUUGCACAAUGGGCGAAAGCCUGAUGCAGCAACGCCGCGUGGGGGAUGACGGCCUUCGGGUUGUAAACCUCUUUUAGUAGGGAAGAAGGACUUCGGUUUGACGGUACCUGCAGAAAAAGCACCGGCUAACUACGUGCCAGCAGCCGCGGUAAUACGUAGGGUGCAAGCGUUGUCCGGAAUUAUUGGGCGUAAAGAGCUCGUAGGCGGUUUGUCGCGUCUGCUGUGAAAACCCGAGGCUCAACCUCGGGCCUGCAGUGGGUACGGGCAGACUAGAGUGCGGUAGGGGAGAAUGGAAUUCCUGGUGUAGCGGUGGAAUGCGCAGAUAUCAGGAGGAACACCGAUGGCGAAGGCAGUUCUCUGGGCCGUAACUGACGCUGAGGAGCGAAAGCAUGGGGAGCGAACAGGAUUAGAUACCCUGGUAGUCCAUGCCGUAAACGUUGGGCGCUAGAUGUGGGGACCUUUCCACGGUUUCCGUGUCGCAGCUAACGCAUUAAGCGCCCCGCCUGGGGAGUACGGCCGCAAGGCUAAAACUCAAAGGAAUUGACGGGGGCCCGCACAAGCGGCGGAGCAUGCGGAUUAAUUCGAUGCAACGCGAAGAACCUUACCAAGGCUUGACAUAUACCGGAAACUUCCAGAAAUGGUUGCCCCGCAAGGUCGGUAUACAGGUGGUGCAUGGUUGUCGUCAGCUCGUGUCGUGAGAUGUUGGGUUAAGUCCCGCAACGAGCGCAACCCUCGUUCUAUGUUGCCAGCACGUCAUGGUGGGAACUCAUAGGAGACUGCCGGGGUCAACUCGGAGGAAGGUGGGGAUGACGUCAAAUCAUCAUGCCCCUUAUGUCUUGGGCUUCACGCAUGCUACAAUGGCCGGUACAAAGGGCUGCGAUACCGCAAGGUGGAGCGAAUCCCAAAAAGCCGGUCUCAGUUCGGAUUGAGGUCUGCAACUCGACCUCAUGAAGUCGGAGUCGCUAGUAAUCGCAGAUCAGCAACGCUGCGGUGAAUACGUUCCCGGGCCUUGUACACACCGCCCGUCAAGUCAUGAAAGUCGGUAACACCCGAAGCCAGUGGCCUAACCGCAAGGAGGGAGCUGUCGAAGGUGGGAUCGGUGAUUAGGACUAAGUCGUAACAAGGUAGCCGUACCGGAAGGUGCGGCUGGAUCACCUCCUUUCUAAGGA